AAUCUGCAUGUAAUCCACUGGCCAGGAGCUCAUGCCUACAGCUCUGAAGUGUCCCCUGCUCACAAUUGUGCCUAUCAGUGAACGAAAUCAUUCAGACUACUUAGAAAUGCAAAGCUAAAAUACAGAGAAAACUACACUUUCAAAAAAAAGGUGAACUACCACUAGCACACACUGACACGACCUCUGUCACACUUCUGCUGAGGUCGUAGCAUGGAAAGAGCUCUGGUUUCUAAAGAGAUCAUCUGAUGGGCGCAACCCAAAGGGGAAAAAGUCUAUGCUGGCAGUAUUCAAUGCUUCUCGCUGCCAAAUUUGCCACGUUUGAAACAGGGAGAAGGACCAGCUUUCAGCCAGCCACACUAAUACCUCUCACACAAAUUCUGAGAACCGUGAACCUUCAUGACCCUUUGAAUUUGAGAGGAAUUACUGUGGCCAUCUGCCUGUGUUGCCCCAAGAGAUUUUCUGCAGGGCACAACUUGAUAAUACAAAUUAAAAAGAAAAAAAAACAUAAUAAGCACUACUGUUACCACCAGAACUUCUGCAUGGUAAUGUUCGAGUUCAGCUCAGAAGCUGAAGUCUCCCAACUCUUCCAGCACAUGACAGAAACAAAAACUUGAAUGACCAACAGAUGGCUCAGAAGAGAUUAAAGUGGUGUUAAUAAGCAAAGUACUAUGAAAGGCUGGUAAAUAUAAUAAUGUCACACUCAGUUAAAGACACAACCACUCCUCUAACUCAUGAGGUGAUUUGUCCCAGGGCCUGGCCACAUUAUUACCGCUAGAUGUAAUCCUUCUAGCUAAGUAUUAACAAAUCAAUAAAAUCACUUCCCGCCAUCUGUGACCAAAAGGGAAGAUAGCCUUCGUGUAACAGUCUGGUACUAAAGAAUUUAUCCAUUCUUUACCAAGAAGGUAAAGCAGGCAACUGCUUCAAAACUGAAGAAAGCAGGACUGAAAAAAAUAAGAUGAUGAGAAGAAGGUGAGGUACCACCAUAUGUUUAGUAUCAGAAACAACUAAAACAUUACAUGAUUGGAAUGUUAAUACUAGACACCAUGAUCAUGUUGUUACAGCUAUUUAUAGGUAGUCCACAAUCAAUCCUUCAGAUAAUUUGGGUGGGCCUGCAUAUGCCAAGUAAAAGAUGUAGCUCAAGUAACUGCAAGUAUUAAUUCAUUAGAGCAGUGACCUUAGUAUUCAAGAGUUGCAGAUUUAAGCCCAAACUAAACAAAAUAUAAAAGGUCUAAGACCAUAAGGUCCAAGUGUCUCUAAGAUAAUUUGAUGAAGAAAAUAUGACAUGAGGUUAAGUUACCUACUCACCUUUCUGCUUAUUAUUUACUGACAGUCAUUUAUAUCUGUUCUGUAUUUGUGUUACUUGCUUUAUACUGGGUCAAGCAUGUGCAUUCUUACUGCUCUAUGUAAAAUACAAAAUUAAUACAAAGACCAUAAGAUUUUACAUAUAGCUUCUUAUAACUUUUAUAUACAGUUUCUUAUAACUUAAAGGGAAUGCUGAAAGCUCUGGUAGAAUAAGGAUGAAGAAAAAUGAUGGAAGUUGGAGUGUGGACUGGUGCUAAGCCAAUACUGUGACUCAAAUUGUGUUGCUAAAAAACACAUAAUCACAGAAUCAUUCAGGUUGGAAGGCACCCCUGGAGGACAUCUGGUCCAGCCUCCCUGGUCAAGCAGGGUCAGCUACAGCAGGCUGCUCAGGACUGCAUCCAGAUGGCUUUGAGUCUCUCCAAAGGAUGGGGACUCCACAGCCUGGCAACCUAUGCCAGUGCUCAGUCACCUGCACAAUAGAGAAGGGUUUUCUCAUGUUCAGAAAAGACCCCUCAUAUUUCAGGUUCUGCCCAUUGCCUCUUGCUCUAUCACUAGGCACCACUGAAAAGAGCCUGACUCAGUCUUGCUUACACCCUCCCAUCAGAUAUUUAUUCACACCUAUAAGAUCUGUCUGAGGCUUCUCUUCUCUAGGCUAACUAGUUCCAUCUUUCAGCCUUUCCUCAUAUGACAUGCUCCAAUCCCUAAACAAUUUUCAUUGCCCUUUACUUGACCUGCUGUCUAUGCCCAUGACUUUCUUGUGCUGGGAAGCCACAAACUAGAAUUGGCACUCCAGAUGUGGCUUCGUCAGUGCUUAAUAGAUGGGAAGGUUCACCUCUCUCAGGCUUUUUGCAAUGCUUUUCCUAAUGCCUACGAAGUCUUAGGCACAGCAAAUGAUUUUACAUUAUUUUUGUACAAAAACAGUAGAAUUUACUAGAGAGAAAUAAAGAAGAAACCAUAAAAGUAAUUUCAUUUUUGAUAGGGCUACGUGAAAAGACUUAGCUCUUAUUGUCAUCAUUUCCAACCUUUAUUGGUCGUUUUCUGAUUUGCACACAUUUGCUUUGUAAAGAUGAAAUACCUGACACUGUUGGCCAACCAACGGGUGGAAAGCCCAGUCUAGUUCAAUACAUUAUAUCUCAAAGUUAGAAUGAUACAUGAGAGCCUUGAAGAGAAUUUCAUUGCUUGGUUAGUAAGAAUUACCCCUGCUUCGUAACACUGCAAGGUGAUACAUAAGGCCACACAAAAGAAGAAAAAAACCUCUCCUGAUGGCUUCCUGAAAAACCCCAGCACCUCGGGAGACAUUCCCAGAAACUUAUAAAAGGAUUAAGAUGAAGAAAGGAGUGAUAUGGAGAUAACACGGCCUUUCCUACUCGGGAAGUGGACCCUUGGGCCUAUUUCAUCUGUCAAUCACCCCGAAAUUAGCUUAUUGACUACAGCCACUCAAACUGCUUGAAGAAAAAGGUACAAAAAGAGAUGGGACUCAAGGAAAUAUCGGGAAGAAGUUCCAUCAACUCUGCAGAGGUAAACGAUGGGCUGCCUUUUCUCCCUCCAGCUUCUUGGGACGCCGCAGGAAAUGCAAGACCUCUGUUUUCAAUCUGGGCCUUACAUGGUGGAGUAAACAGGAGCGCUUUCACACCACCUCCUGUCGAUGUUGACAUGAAGCAGCUUCAACCACAGCGUCAAACUGAAGGGACACAAUGAUAAUGAAAGAUUGAAGUCACCCUUGAUAACUUGGCAUCCACAAUUUCCAAUUCUAAAUUCUUGGAGCAUUACAAGAAAGUUUGUGUAUAAAUAUCUUUAGAGCAGCUAAACUUCCAAAAUGCUGUCGAUGUAGCAUAGCAACUCUGCAUGGGUAUGUAUUUUAAUUGUCUUAUUUGUUUCUUAGUAGCAAUAACAUUACUAGUUCUUUCAUCUCUCGCUGUCUACUCCAUUGCUUCAAGCAGGUUGAGAAAUAAUCUAACUAAAAAGGAAUUCUAAACCCCUCAGUUAACACGCUUUUCAAUUUAUGAUGCUUGGAAUACUGCCAUUUGAAAAUAAA
Long non-coding RNA from Pipra filicauda (Wire-tailed manakin), 3337 nucleotides. RefSeq lists it as uncharacterized. Lineage: Eukaryota; Metazoa; Chordata; Aves; Passeriformes; Pipridae. The record is from RefSeq and is a predicted model, not a curated record. The transcript has 3 exons.